Molecule: non-coding RNA, 45 nt
Filed under: Alexandrium minutum
Lineage: Eukaryota; Dinophyceae; Gonyaulacales; Pyrocystaceae
Source: RNAcentral
GCCUCCGAGCCAGUGACCCUUCCCAGACCGCCGACCACUCAAGAG